UGCGACUGGCCCGAGCAGAUCUGUGUUA
Molecule: non-coding RNA, 28 nt
Filed under: Homo sapiens (human)
Lineage: Eukaryota; Metazoa; Chordata; Mammalia; Primates; Hominidae
Source: RNAcentral